CUUUCCUCCUACUGUUGAUGCCAUAUUUCCACGCCAUCGAGGGUUCCCAAGCUAGUCUAUCGUUCACCAAACUUUCCACUCGCGAUCUGCCUAUUAUCUCAAGAGACUCUACUAUUGUUGGCUGCACAUUUCUCGUUACAGGUUUUAUACACCUAGCUUCUUCCCAUUUUAUUGUGGCAUCCCUAUCAUAUCCUUCACGUGCCAAGGCACUGUUCAGAUCCACUCUUAAAAUAUCAUUUUUAUGUUCUCCCAUGCGCUUUUCCACCUGUGCAUAAGACACCUGUUCAAUAUAGACUCAUAGUAGAUUAGUAAGGAAUAUAUAAAAAUAAAGUUUUGCAAAAUAACUGCAACUACAAAUGAAAGCACAACACUGAUGCUUCCACUGCGAACUAACUUCUUAAAG
RNAcentral lists this long non-coding RNA (403 nucleotides) under Androctonus crassicauda. Lineage: Eukaryota; Metazoa; Arthropoda; Arachnida; Scorpiones; Buthidae. The record is from RNAcentral.